GAUGAACGCUGGCGGCGUGCCUAAUACAUGCAAGUCGAGCGAACGGACGAGAAGCUUGCUUCUCUGAUGUUAGCGGCGGACGGGUGAGUAACACGUGGAUAACCUACCUAUAAGACUGGGAUAACUUCGGGAAACCGUAGCUAAUACCGGAUAAUAUUUUGAACAGCAUGGUUCAAAAGUGAAAGACGGUCUUGCUGUCACUUAUAGAUGGAUCCGCGCUGCAUUAGCUAGUUGGUAAGGUAACGGCUUACCAAGGCAACGAUGCAUAGCCGACCUGAGAGGGUGAUCGGCCACACUGGAACUGAGACACGGUCCAGACUCCUACGGGAGGCAGCAGUGGGGAAUCUUCGGCAAUGGGCGAAAGCCUGACGGAGCAACGCCGCGUGAGUGAUGAAGGUCUUCGGAUCGUAAAACUCUGUUAUUAGGGAAGAACAUAUGUGUAAGUAACUGUGCACAUCUUGACGGUACCUAAUCAGAAAGCCACGGCUAACUACGUG
This 497-nucleotide ribosomal RNA is filed under the name uncultured bacterium. RNAcentral describes it as "partial 16S ribosomal RNA". It matches the Rfam family "Bacterial small subunit ribosomal RNA", at positions 28 to 507 of the family's 1533-position model. The record is from RNAcentral.